RNA transcript from Exaiptasia diaphana, 1079 nucleotides. It is a transcript of the gene named TNF receptor-associated factor 6-like, with no coding region annotated. The record is from RefSeq and is a predicted model, not a curated record. Lineage: Eukaryota; Metazoa; Cnidaria; Anthozoa; Actiniaria; Aiptasiidae. The transcript has 4 exons.
AUUGCAUGAAAAGAAUUUUUAAAUUCUUAAAAGAAUUCUAAUAUUGCUCAGGAUAUUACUUACGUUUAUACUGGCGUCUAAACAUUAUUAGCAGAGUAUGAGUAUCGGAAAAUUCCAUUAAUCUGUAUCGAAUUAGUAGCGCUACAAGCAUGCAUCCAUGUAUUGAUAUAUAUGCUGACAUCAUUUUGAGCUCCGGGGAAUCCCCGAACUUUUAGGGUAUUUUAGCCAAUGAAAUCAUAAUGACGUCACUCCCCCAAAAAAUCUACAUACAUGUUAGUCUGCAUGUUAGUUAUAUCGUAGUCGAAGAAGAAAUCGGCAAAAAUCAUUUUAUAAACAGAAAAUUGGAUGAAUUGCGAAAUAGUAUUAGCACUGAACACAUCUUAUGUCACGUACUAGGUCAAGUUAAAUAUCGGUAAAAAUCGCUCAUUUUGGCUGAGUUUCCUCAAGAAAAUUUGAAGACAUGACAGUGUACAGAAAAACUGUUUGAAUCGGUAAUCACUAUCGAAAUCCAAAAAAAUACUGCAUUAUAGCAAAUCCUUGUACCUUUAAUAUUUUUAUUCUAGCAUUAAAGGAAGAUCAGUCGUUCGGCACGUUUUAAACUCGUUCUACCGCAAUGACACAGCGGUUACAGAGGUUUACGUCAUCAGCAGUGUUUGACGUCUAUAUAACACGUGUACGAGCACUUUGCACCGUCAUUAAGUCCUUUGCAAAAAAGCGAAAGUUAUAUUUGAGCACUUCUAAUGACUACUGGUGGUUAUCGAAUCUGUGAAGAAGAUCGUCGAAAUAUCCACAGCAAAGAUCUUUGUGGUAUCUGCAGCAACGUCCUAAAGACUGCGAUCCAGACAGAAUGUGGACAUCGUUAUUGUCUUGACUGUUUGGAAGAAGAGUUUAACAAGCAUAAUGGCGAAAUAAAAUGUAAAAUCUGCGACGAAAUCCUGACAAGAACGAAGAUAUUCAGAGACAAGUUCGCGGACCGUGAGAUACAGACUCUCAUUUUGUUCUGUAUUAACUGUAUUAUUGGGUGUAAAUGGAGAGGACAAUUAAGACAUCGACAGGUAGGUAUUUUAGAAUUGGAUUGC